This is a long non-coding RNA of Oryza sativa Japonica Group (Japanese rice), 712 nucleotides long. RefSeq lists it as uncharacterized. NCBI's taxonomy places the organism in Eukaryota, Viridiplantae, Streptophyta, Magnoliopsida, Poales, Poaceae. The record is from RefSeq and is a predicted model, not a curated record.
UUCCUCCUCCCUAUCUCCCUUCUCUCUCUUUCUCUCCCCUUCUUCCCAAACAAGUCGAGUGACAACAAACAAAGUGUCAAAUUACCAAAUUUUACGACAAAACGAGGGUGGUUUGAGAGAAUAAAUAAGUAAAACGAAACAAAUAUGCGUUACGUGAAUAAGCGAAACGAUAGUCGAUAGAGCCCGAUGAGUGAAAGAAAAGAGAGCAAAGAGAAGAGGAAAAUAGAAAACCUGUAGCUACAAACGUGCAAGUGCCCAAACCGAAUCAUGCAGGCAAAGCCACCUCUGAGCUGCACAAAAGACGAGCAGGGUGAGGCCAAGACCUCCCCGAUCUCCGACGCUGCCCGCAGCCCAAUCGAUCGUCUCCUCGAUCAGGCCGCCAUCAUUUUCAGUGCAAGCUCUCACUCUCAAACAGUCACAGUCACAGUCACUCCACUUCACUGCCUGAUCCUUCCACCUCUCGAGACGAGAACAACCAGAUCACUCCUAGUGGUGGCGCCCUGCCCUCUCUUCUCCUCUCCAGUUCAUGGUCCCAGAAAGGGGUUAGAUUUCUCGCAGACGUGAUGCGUGGGGCAAUUAUUAUCGGAUUUGUCGAUCUUGUGAUGAUGCAAUAGAGUACAAACAUUCUCCUGUUGCCGACAUCAACGGCACGCUUUGUAGUAUCAGUAAGUUUUUCUUUUUGUGAUGAUUUACACACGCAUUUACUGGUUUA